RNAcentral lists this ribosomal RNA (165 nucleotides) under uncultured bacterium. Its description in RNAcentral is "partial 16S rRNA". It matches the Rfam family "Bacterial small subunit ribosomal RNA", at positions 355 to 511 of the family's 1533-position model. The record is from RNAcentral.
UAGGGAAUCCUCCACAAUGGGCGAAAGCCUGAUGGAGCAACGCCGCGUGUGUGAUGAAGGGUUUCGGCUCGUAAAACACUGUUGUAAGAGAAGAAUGACAUUGAGAGUAACUGUUCAAUGUGUGACGGUAUCUUACCAGAAAGGAACGGCUAAAUACGUGACCAG